This 817-nucleotide ribosomal RNA is filed under the name uncultured bacterium. Its description in RNAcentral is "bacterial SSU rRNA". It matches the Rfam family "Bacterial small subunit ribosomal RNA", at positions 1 to 815 of the family's 1533-position model. The record is from RNAcentral.
GGCUUAGAGUUUGAUCCUGGCUCAGAUUGAACGCUGGCGGCAGGCCUAACACAUGCAAGUCGAGCGGUUGACGGGAGCUUGCUCCCUGAUUCAGCGGCGGACGGGUGAGUAAUGCCUAGGAAUCUGCCUAUUAGUGGGGGACAACGUUUCGAAAGGAACGCUAAUACCGCAUACGUCCUACGGGAGAAAGCAGGGGACCUUCGGGCCUUGCGCUAAUAGAUGAGCCUAGGUCGGAUUAGCUAGUUGGUGAGGUAAUGGCUCACCAAGGCGACGAUCCGUAACUGGUCUGAGAGGAUGAUCAGUCACACUGGAACUGAGACACGGUCCAGACUCCUACGGGAGGCAGCAGUGGGGAAUAUUGGACAAUGGGCGAAAGCCUGAUCCAGCCAUGCCGCGUGUGUGAAGAAGGUCUUCGGAUUGUAAAGCACUUUAAGUUGGGAGGAAGGGUUGUAGAUUAAUACUCUGCAAUUUUGACGUUACCGACAGAAUAAGCACCGGCUAACUCUGUGCCAGCAGCCGCGGUAAUACAGAGGGUGCAAGCGUUAAUCGGAAUUACUGGGCGUAAAGCGCGCGUAGGUGGUUUGUUAAGUUGGAUGUGAAAUCCCCGGGCUCAACCUGGGAACUGCAUUCAAAACUGACUGACUAGAGUAUGGUAGAGGGUGGUGGAAUUUCCUGUGUAGCGGUGAAAUGCGUAGAUAUAGGAAGGAACACCAGUGGCGAAGGCGACCCCCUGGACUGAUACUGACACUGAGGUGCGAAAGCGUGGGGAGCAAACAGGAUUAGAUACCCUGGUAGUCCACGCCGUAAACGAUGUCAA